GGGGCUGUGGGGUAGCUUGGCCUAGCCUCUUGCCCUCGGGCGGCAAGGACCCCGGUUCAAAUCCGGGCAGCCCCA
This 75-nucleotide transfer RNA is filed under the name Candidatus Woesearchaeota archaeon. RNAcentral's name for it is "tRNA-Pro". It matches the Rfam family "tRNA". From Rfam's summary of the family: Transfer RNA (tRNA) molecules are approximately 80 nucleotides in length. Their secondary structure includes four short double-helical elements and three loops (D, anti-codon, and T loops). Further hydrogen bonds mediate the characteristic L-shaped molecular structure. tRNAs have two regions of fundamental functional importance: the anti-codon, which is responsible for specific mRNA codon recognition, and the 3' end, to which the tRNAs corresponding amino acid is attached (by aminoacyl-tRNA synthetases). tRNAs cope with the degeneracy of the genetic code in two manners: having more than one tRNA (with a specific anti-codon) for a particular amino acid; and 'wobble' base-pairing, i.e. permitting non-standard base-pairing at the 3rd anti-codon position. Lineage: Archaea; Nanobdellati; Candidatus Woesearchaeota. The record is from RNAcentral. RNAcentral also lists the same sequence under 1 other name.